GAAGAUGCUUUCAUGAUCGACACAUCUGUCAUUGCUGUUGCUUAUCACUGUUCCUGGGAAUCCGUUACUUCAUCAGCCGUCUUUCUUUCCAUCUAAUGAACACUCUUCUCCCUGACUCAGAUGUCAUCACCAUGAGAAGGACAUACCACCCCAGAAUAAGGAGAGGCAAAUGGAUUAGACUUGAAAUGAACCCAGAGCCUAGAUUCAAGCACAGCCAAACCCAGCUUGGAUCACGUUCCCAGUCCUGUGCAGAAGAACCGUGAGACCUACAAUAUAUUUCAAUACCUUCUUUCAAGAAAUAA
RNAcentral lists this long non-coding RNA (302 nucleotides) under Pongo abelii (Sumatran orangutan). RNAcentral describes it as "lincRNA". Lineage: Eukaryota; Metazoa; Chordata; Mammalia; Primates; Hominidae. The record is from RNAcentral.